This 654-nucleotide long non-coding RNA is filed under the name Homo sapiens (human). Its description in RNAcentral is "HSALNT0408706". The record is from RNAcentral. Lineage: Eukaryota; Metazoa; Chordata; Mammalia; Primates; Hominidae.
CCCACGACUAGGACCGUCCCAAACUUCCUGUUUCUUCCGGCCGCUCUGACCCCGGGGCUGCGGCUCCGAGAUAGCUCAGGGCCUGGAAGUGCAUGCUGGGACCAACUACAUAAUCCUUGGUAAGAAAAGGAGGUGGCCCUGACAAGUGCAACUCGAGAAAUGCAAUGCUGUAGAGUCCAAAGGUGUCUGACUUGAACGAAAUGAUCCCACUGGGGGACAAUGCAACAUAUACUCCAGGGUCAUGUUUUGUCAUGAUGCAGCAAGGAGAUCUGUUCCUAACUUGGACUUGGUUGUCUAACCCUCAUCUCUUCUCUUUAUUACAAGGUAAGCAUAGUGGAAAACAUAUUGGACUUAGAUUCAAACACACCUGAACCUGUAACUUAUGAGCCAGGUGACCUUGGGGGUAAGUAAAUUUAUUUCUCUAAUGGGGUUAAAUAAUGCCUACUCAAUGCUUUAAAAGAUUUUCAGUGUGGAAUAAGACUGCAAAUGCUUACAAUAAUAGCACUAAGACUAAUAACAGCUAACAGUUAAUUAUAUAAUGCUUACUAUAUGCUAGGCACUGGUAUUAAGGUCUUUACAUGAAGCACUCAAUAAAUAUUAGCUGCAGAGAAAUCUCACGGAAUUGACUAUAUAACCUGCCCUAACUGACGGGAA